This 69-nucleotide transfer RNA is filed under the name Rattus norvegicus (Norway rat). It matches the Rfam family "tRNA". From Rfam's summary of the family: Transfer RNA (tRNA) molecules are approximately 80 nucleotides in length. Their secondary structure includes four short double-helical elements and three loops (D, anti-codon, and T loops). Further hydrogen bonds mediate the characteristic L-shaped molecular structure. tRNAs have two regions of fundamental functional importance: the anti-codon, which is responsible for specific mRNA codon recognition, and the 3' end, to which the tRNAs corresponding amino acid is attached (by aminoacyl-tRNA synthetases). tRNAs cope with the degeneracy of the genetic code in two manners: having more than one tRNA (with a specific anti-codon) for a particular amino acid; and 'wobble' base-pairing, i.e. permitting non-standard base-pairing at the 3rd anti-codon position. The record is from Rfam by way of RNAcentral. Lineage: Eukaryota; Metazoa; Chordata; Mammalia; Rodentia; Muridae.
AGGAUUUAGCUCAGUGGUAGAGCACUUGCCUAGCAAGCGCAAGGCCCUGGGUUCGAUCCCCAGCUCCUA